GCGUUGUCCGGAUUUAUUGGGCGUAAAGCGUGUGUAGGUGGAUCGUUAAGUACCUUGUGAAAUCCCACGGCUUAACCGUGGAACUGCUUGGUAUACCGGCGGUCUUGAGCCACUUAGGGGCUACCGGAACAAAUGGUGGAGCGGUGAAAUGCGUAGAGAUCCGGAGGAACACCGACGGCGAAGGCAGCGCCCUGGCCGCCAUCUGACGCUCAGGCACGAAAGCUGGGGGAGCGAACAGG
Molecule: ribosomal RNA, 239 nt
Filed under: uncultured bacterium
Lineage: Bacteria
Description: partial 16S ribosomal RNA
Rfam family: Bacterial small subunit ribosomal RNA
Source: RNAcentral